GUGCAGCAGGCGCGAAACCUCUGCAAUAGGCGAAAGCUUGACAGGGUUACUCUGAGUGAUUUCCGUUAAGGAGAUCUUUUGGCACCUCUAAAAAUGGUGCAGGAUAAGGGGUGGGCAAGUCUGGUGUCAGCCGUCGCGGUAAUACCAGCACCCCGGGUGGUCGGGACGAUUAUUGGGCCUAAAGCAUCCGUAGCCGGUUCUACAAGUCUUCCGUUAAAUCCAACUGCUUAACAGAUGGGCCGCGGAGGAUACUAUAAGACUAGGAGGCAGGAGAGGCAAGCGGUACUCAGUGGGUAGGGGUAAAAUCCGUUGAUCCAUUGAAGACACCAGUGGCGAAGGCGGCUUGCCAGAACGCGCUCGACGGUGAGGGAUGAAAGCUGGGGGAGCAAACCGGAUUAGAUACCCCGGUAGU
This 412-nucleotide ribosomal RNA is filed under the name uncultured archaeon. RNAcentral's name for it is "bacterial SSU rRNA". It matches the Rfam family "Archaeal small subunit ribosomal RNA", at positions 330 to 745 of the family's 1478-position model. The record is from RNAcentral.